UUAGUUAAAGCCAAAAAGAGGCAUUUCAUUGUUAAUGAAAAAAAUGAUUUAUUAAUCUAACUAAA
This 65-nucleotide transfer RNA is filed under the name Leucophoroptera quadrimaculata. RNAcentral describes it as "tRNA-Asn". The record is from RNAcentral. Lineage: Eukaryota; Metazoa; Arthropoda; Insecta; Hemiptera; Miridae.